RNAcentral lists this long non-coding RNA (435 nucleotides) under Bos taurus (domestic cattle). Its description in RNAcentral is "long non-coding RNA NONBTAT007265". Lineage: Eukaryota; Metazoa; Chordata; Mammalia; Artiodactyla; Bovidae. The record is from RNAcentral.
ACCUCAUGUUUAAGUGGCCACACAUGCAUAUAUCAUAAUUUAUUUACUCAAUCCCUGAUUGAUUUUUUUCAGAAAUUUUAGCAAAUAACAAUUACAAACUGUGCUUCAAAGAACAUCGUUCAAAAUCUAUCUUUAUAUUUUUGGAUGGGUAAAACUGCCUGAUAUAUUUGAGCAGUGAACUUGUUGGCCCAAAAUUAUAAGAGGGGCAAGAGAGAAGGUGCAAAGCUUUCCAGCUGAAAUAUUUGCAAGUCAGAUUGACAAACAGAUGUUAAGUCCUUAGUAUAUCUGGUCCAAUCUUUUUGGGAGACUGAUGGAAUUAAAAAUCCAUACAACGUAGAUUAUACUCACAUGGAUCUUGCCACUUUAAGUUCUCUCCAUUUAGUAAACCUCUUCAGGUUUUUGGUUCGUUAGUUAGUUUGUCUUAGCUCUUCUCCA